This 525-nucleotide ribosomal RNA is filed under the name uncultured bacterium. RNAcentral describes it as "bacterial SSU rRNA". It matches the Rfam family "Bacterial small subunit ribosomal RNA", at positions 1 to 483 of the family's 1533-position model. The record is from RNAcentral.
GAGGUGAUCCAGCCGCACUGAGCCAGGAUCAAACUCUUGGACGAACGCUGGCGGCGUGCUUAACACAUGCAAGUCGAACGGAGAGAGAUGGGAGCUUGCUCCUAUUGAUCUUAGUGGCGAACGGGUGAGUAACGCGUAACCAACCUGCCCUUCAGUGGGGGAUAACAACGGGAAACCGUUGCUAAUACCGCGUACGAUUUCCGAGUGGCAUCGCUUGGAAAUGAAAGGUGGCCUCUAUUUAUAAGCUAUCGCUGAAGGAGGGGGUUGCGUCUGAUUAGCUAGUUGGAGGGGUAACGGCCCACCAAGGCAAUGAUCAGUAGCCGGUCUGAGAGGAUGAACGGCCACAUUGGGACUGAGACACGGCCCAAACUCCUACGGGAGGCAGCAGUGGGGAAUCUUCCGCAAUGGACGAAAGUCUGACGGAGCAACGCCGCGUGAGUGAUGACGGUCUUCGGAUUGUAAAGCUCUGUUAAUCGGGACGAAAGAGCUCUGUGUAAAUAAUGCAGAGAAGUGACGGUACCGGAA